UCUAACAUGCCCGCGAGUUCAACAUUGCAGAUGAUGGGCGUGCGAAAGCGAAAAGUAUUUCACUACUAGCGGAGCGCGUAUGUUAGGUCCCGAAAAAUGGCGAACUAUUUCUGCUCAGGCUGAAGUCAUUGGAAACUUUGAUGGAAGGUCUCAACGGUUUUGACGUGCAAAUCGAUCGUGUGAAGCAGGUAUAGGGGCGAAAGACCAAUCGAGCCAUUUAGUUGCUGGUUCUCUCUGAAGUUUCCCUCAGGAUAGCGGUCCCUACAGAAUAAUGUGCGGUAAAGAGAAUGAUUAGAGGUAUCUGGGAAAGCUUUUCCUAGGCCGAUUUUCAAACUCAGAAUGCGCAUCAAUGAUUUCUCCAUGAAUUGUUGAAUUAUCUUAGGGAUCAGUGGGCCUUUUUUGGUAAGCAGAUCGGGCGAUGAGGGUUCCUCCUAGAGUCGAGAUAACGUGCUCAAAGCUACAUCAAUUAAAUGAUGUCAGUGCAUACUGACAGCAGGAGGGUGGCCAUGGAAGUUGGAAUCCACUAAGGAGUGUGUUACAACUCACCUGCCGAAUGUACUGGCUCAGAAAAUUGAUAGCUAACCCGUAGCAACUAAUUCUCGACGCUAAGUAAGAGAGCGUAGUGGUCGGAUAGAAUCCAGAGCGUGAGCCUUGGUCGACCGGCCACCAUUGCAGAUCUCGGUGGUAGUAGCACUUGCUAAAAUGGAACCUUUUAGGACCACUUGGACGAAGGUUCCACGACAACAGCCAAUGUUCGUGGGUAAGUCGGCCUUAAUCGCGCAGUCGAGAAAAGCAACCAGGUUAAUAUUCCUGGACAACACAGGAAAACGGCAACGUUUGCGCGGGUAUUUGUUAGGUGUUGGAAGGAGGGGGACUUUCGUCCCUCUUAACAGCUGUACGCCUCUGGAACUGUGUGAAACAGAGAUAGAGGCAGACACUGGAAUAAGUACCUCUUGCGGGUACUCCUGAGCCAGCACUUGACCUCUGAAAAAUACCCGCGUUCUGUGGUGUAGCCGUACCAAUAGCCGCAUCAGGUCUCCGAGACGCAAAGUCUUCGGUUCAAUGGAUGAAUGUAAGCAAGGGAAGUCGACAAGUUCGAUCCGUAACUUCGGGAAAAGGAUUGGCUUCGUGGACUUAGUGAGGAAUGUCUGUCCUAGCGAGGAAUGUGACUCUACCGAGUUGCUCCUACGCUGGGCACAGCAACCUCACUAGCAAUACAUGAAACUGACGCGCAAACGAGGAAUCUGACUGUUUAAUCGAAACGUAGCAUCAUGCAGCGUGGUGUGGACAUGAUGUGAUUUCUGCUCAGUGCUUUGAAAGUUAAAGUUGAGCAACCGACAGAAGCGCAGGUCAACAGCGGGAGUAACUAUGACUCUCUUAAGGUAGCGAAAUGCCUCGUCAUCUAAUUAGUGACGUGCAUGAAUGGAGCAACGAGAUUCCUACUGUCCCUGUUUACUAUUCAGCGAAACCACAGCCAAGGGAACGGGCUUGGUACACACAGCGGGGAAAGAAGACCCUGUUGAGCUUGACUCUAGUCUGGAUCGGUUUGGCGACUUGUCAGGUGUAGCAUAGGUGGGAGAGUUUCGCCAAUGAAAUACCACUACUGACAUAGUUUCUGAACCCACGAUGUUCGUGCAGCAUCAGGAUGCAUUUUCAUCGGCAAAUCCAGAUCGGGAGUUUGGCUGGGGCGGCAUAUCUGUUAAAAGAUAACGCAGGUGUCCUAAGACGAGCUCAGGCAGAUCAGAAAUCUGCCGUAGACUGACAGGAGAAAGACUCGCUUGAUUGUAGUCUCCAGUACGGACUACAAAUGCUAACGCAUGGCCUAUCGAUCCUUACGCGUUGACUUUUUCAGCUAGAGGUGUCAGAAAAGUUACCACAGGGAUAACUGAUUCGUGGCGACCAAGAGUUCAUAUCGACGUCGCUUUUUGAUCCUUCGAUGUCGGCUCUUCCUAUCAUUGUGAAGCAGAA
This 1968-nucleotide ribosomal RNA is filed under the name seawater metagenome. RNAcentral's name for it is "eukaryotic LSU rRNA". It matches the Rfam family "Eukaryotic large subunit ribosomal RNA", at positions 674 to 2912 of the family's 3401-position model. The record is from RNAcentral.